GGACGGGUGAGUAAUGUCUGGGAAACUGCCUGAUGGAGGGGGAUAACUACUGGAAACGGUGGCUAAUACCGCAUAACGUCGCAAGACCAAAGAGGGGGACCUUCGGGCCUCUUGCCAUCAGAUGUGCCCAGAUGGGAUUAGCUUGUUGGUGAGGUAACGGCUCACCAAGGCGACGAUCCCUAGCUGGUCUGAGAGGAUGACCAGCCACACUGGAACUGAGACACGGUCCAGACUCCUACGGGAGGCAGCAGUGGGGAAUAUUGCACAAUGGGCGCAAGCCUGAUGCAGCCAUGCCGCGUGUAUGAAGAAGGCCUUCGGGUUGUAAAGUACUUUCAGCGGGGAGGAAGGUGUUGUGGUUAAUAACCGCAGCAAUUGACGUUACCCGCAGAAGAAGCACCGGCUAACUCCGUGCCAGCAGCCGCGGUAAUACGGAGGGUGCAAGCGUUAAUCGGAAUUACUGGGCGUAAAGCGCACGCAGGCGGUCUGUCAAGUCGGAUGUGAAAUCCCCGGGCUCAACCUGGGAACUGCAUUCGAAACUGGCAGGCUUGAGUCUUGUAGAGGGGGGUAGAAUUCCAGGUGUAGCGGUGAAAUGCGUAGAGAUCUGGAGGAAUACCGGUGGCGAAGGCGGCCCCCUGGACAAAGACUGACGCUCAGGUGCGAAAGCGUGGGGAGCAAACAGGAUUAGAUACCCUGGUAGUCCACGCCGUAAACGAUGUCUACUUGGAGGUUGUGCCCUUGAGGCGUGGCUUCCGGAGCUAACGCGUUAAGUAGACCGCCUGGGGAGUACGGCCGCAAGGUUAAAACUCAAAUGAAUUGACGGGGGCCCGCACAAGCGGUGGAGCAUGUGGUUUAAUUCGAUGCAACGCGAAGAACCUUACCUGGUCUUGACAUCCACAGAACUUUCCAGAGAUGGAUUGGUGCCUUCGGGAACUGUGAGACAGGUGCUGCAUGGCUGUCGUCAGCUCGUGUUGUGAAAUGUUGGGUUAAGUCCCGCAACGAGCGCAACCCUUAUCCUUUGUUGCCAGCGGUCCGGCCGGGAACUCAAAGGAGACUGCCAGUGAUAAACUGGAGGAAGGUGGGGAUGACGUCAAGUCAUCAUGGCCCUUACGACCAGGGCUACACACGUGCUACAAUGGCGCAUACAAAGAGAAGCGACCUCGCGAGAGCAAGCGGACCUCAUAAAGUGCGUCGUAGUCCGGAUUGGAGUCUGCAACUCGACUCCAUGAAGUCGGAAUCGCUAGUAAUCGUGGAUCAGAAUGCCACGGUGAAUACGUUCCCGGGCCUUGUACACACCGCCCGUCACACCAUGGGAGUGGGUUGCAAAAGAAGUAGGUAGCUUAACCUUCGGGAGGGCGCUUACCACUUUGUGAUUCAUGACUGGGGUGAAGUCGUAACAAGGUAACCGUAGGGGAACCUGCGGUUGGAUCACCUCCUUACCUUAAAGAAGC
Molecule: ribosomal RNA, 1448 nt
Filed under: Salmonella enterica subsp. enterica serovar Typhi
Lineage: Bacteria; Pseudomonadati; Pseudomonadota; Gammaproteobacteria; Enterobacterales; Enterobacteriaceae
Also listed under: 2 other names
Description: bacterial SSU rRNA
Rfam family: Bacterial small subunit ribosomal RNA
Source: RNAcentral